ACAGAAGUAGCAAAACAAAAUUGUUUAAAGUGAGAAAAAGGAUGAAAUUAUUAAAGUAGAGUACAUGAAAGCAGGAUAGCACAAAUAGGUAACAUUAUGAAAUAUUUUCUGUACGAGUUCUUAAUGUUUUACGUUUUAAAGGUUAGUCCUUUUUGGAGCUUCUUAUCUGUUGUUGUUGUGUUAUUUGUUGUAUUUAGUUUGUAGAUUGUGUUGGAUGAAGAAAAAGGACAGCUGAAAGCUACUAAUAUGGAUGGAAAGAUUCGUAAUUUCUACAGCCUUGAAGCUACGUUAUGCCAUUCUAAAAGUGUUGUCCAUCGCUUGUGAAUUUUUAUGUUUUACUUUCUUGUCCAUUUUGAUGUCAUUGUGCAGGUUAUAUGUCAUUUUUAUUCAUAACAAGGACAUUAACGACAAGCUCUAUAGUAACCUUUGUAUGAGAAUUCUUACAAUUAUGAGGUUAAUGUAAUUCAUA
Molecule: long non-coding RNA, 469 nt
Filed under: Capsicum annuum
Lineage: Eukaryota; Viridiplantae; Streptophyta; Magnoliopsida; Solanales; Solanaceae
Description: long non-coding RNA (CANN_LNC013819)
Source: RNAcentral